UACGGGAGGCAGCAGUGGGGAAUAUUGCACAAUGGGCGCAAGCCUGAUGCAGCCAUGCCGCGUGUAUGAAAAAGGCCUUCGGGUUGUAAAGUACUUUCAGUCGUGAGGAAGGUGUUAAGGUUAAUAACCUUAGCAAUUGACGUUAGCGACAGAAGAAGCACCGGCUAACUCCGUGCCAGCAGCCGCGGUAAUACGGAGGGUGCGAGCGUUAAUCGGAAUUACUGGGCUAAAGGGCACGCAGGCGGUUAAUUAAGUUGGAUGUGAAAUCCCCGGGCUUAACCUGGGAAUGGCAUUCAAGACUGGUUAGCUAGAGUCUUGUAGAGGGGGUAGAAUUCCAUGUGUAGCGGUGAAAUGCGUAGAGAUGUGGAGGAAUACCGGUGGCGAAGGCGGCCCCUGGACAAAGACUGACGCUCAUGUGCGAAAGCGUGGGGAGCAAACGAGGGAUUAGAUACC
This 453-nucleotide ribosomal RNA is filed under the name uncultured bacterium. Its description in RNAcentral is "bacterial SSU rRNA". It matches the Rfam family "Bacterial small subunit ribosomal RNA", at positions 340 to 786 of the family's 1533-position model. The record is from RNAcentral.